AUGGUGCGAGGCCUGCCAUGCCUCGACCAUGUGGAGCAGUUCUGCGACAUCUGCGUACUGACAAAGCAGAGACGACUCCCCUUUCCCCAACAGGCGAGUUUUCGGGCUAAGGAGAAGCUGGAGCUCGUGCACGGAGACCUGUGCGGCCCGGUGACGCCAGCCACACCAGGAGGUCGACGCUACUUCCUGCUGCUCGUCGACGAUCUCUCCCGCUACAUGUGGGUGAUGAUCCUCGGCAGUAAGGGAGAAGCGGCGGACGCCAUCAGGCGCGCGCAGGUUGGUGUGGAGGCGGAGAGCGGCCGCAAAUUGCGCGUGUUGCGCACUGACAACGGCGGCGAGUUCACGGCGGCUGAAUUCGCGUCGUACUGCGCCGAUGAGGGCAUCCAGCGCCACUACUCCGCGCCGUACAGCCCGCAGCAAAACGGCGUCGUUGAGCGGCGCAACCAGACGGUUGUGGGGAUGGCUCGGGCUCUCCUUAAGCAGAGAGGGAUGCCGGCUGUCUUCUGGGGAGAGGCGGUGCUAACGGCCGUCUACAUCCUCAACCGCUCUCCUACUAAGGCACUCGACGGCAGAACUCCGUACGAGGCCUGGCAUGGGCGGAAGCCGGCGGUCUCUCAUUUGCGGGUCUUUGGCUGCCUUGCGUUCGCCAAGGAGCUCGGCCACAUCGGCAAGCUCGACGACAGGAGCACUCCGGGAGUCUUCAUCGGCUACGCGGAGGGCUCAAAGGCCUACCGCAUCCUCGACCCAAAGACACAACGUGUGCGCACAGCGCGAGACGUCGUGUUCAACGAAGGGCGAGGGUGGCAAUGGGACAAGGCGGUGGACGACGGCUCGACGCCGACGUAUGACGACUUCAUUGUCGAGUACGCUCACUUCAAGGAAGCUGGGGGAGCAAGCAGCUCCUCUUCACCGGGCACGUCUACCCCGGCCCCCAAAACUACAUCGACUCCGGCGCCUGCUACACCGACGACACCACAACCGGCGACGCCGCAUACUCCAGCCCCGGCGGUCGCCACUCCGGGCUCGUCUUCAUCAGCACCAGCUCACGCAGAGCACAACCCGAUGAAGUUUGCUUCCCCGCUCACUCACGACGAGGAGCUGGUCGACGCAUGGUAUGGAGGCGAACCGCUGCGGUACCGUACGAUGGAUAAUGUGCUCGGCGACCAGCCGGUGCCAGGACUGGUGCCACGUGACCUGGAGGCGCAGCUACAGCUCGUGUGUGAAGACGGCGAACCACGGUCCUUUGCAGAGGCCGAGAGAGACGCGGCAUGGCGCGCCGCGAUGAAGUUGGAGAUGGAUGCGGUCGAGCAAAACCGCACCUGGGAGCUUGCUGAUCUCCCUCGAGGUCACCGCGCAAUCACCCUUAAGUGGAUGUUCAAGCUGAAGAGGGAUGGAGCCGGCGCCAUCAUCAAGCACAAGGCUCGUUUGGUGGCCCGAGGCUUCUUGCAGCAGGAAGGAGUCGACUUUGACCACGCUUCCGCUUUCGCUCCCGUGGCACGGAUGGAGUCCGUGCGACUUCUCCUUGUGCUGGCUGCCCAGGAGGGCUGGCGUGUCCACCACAUGGACGUUAAGUCGGCAUUCCUCAAUGGCGACUUGAAGGAGGAAGUCUACGUGCAUCAGCCACCGGGGUUUAUGAUUCCCGGCCAGGAGGGCAAGGUGCUCCGCCUGCGCAAGGCUCUCUAUGGCCUGCGGCAGGCACCCAGGGCGUGGAACGCCAAGCUGGACUCCACGCUGAAGAAGACGGGUUUCGAGCAGAGCCCGCAUGAGGCUGCCGUCUACCGACGGGGGAGUGGAGGAAAUGCCCUGCUGGUGGGCGUCUACGUUGACGUCCUGGUGAUCACCGGCACCAAAGAUGCAGAGGUGGCGGCGUUCAAGGAAGACAUGAAGGCCACGUUCCAGAUGAGUGACCUGGGGCUCCUCUCCUUCUAUCUAGGGAUUGAGCUCACUCCGAUGGAGGAGAGGCUGAAACUAAGUCGCGACAGCACGACGGAGGAAGUGGAUGCUACGCAGUACCGACGCCUUGUGGGGAGCCUUCACUACCUCACUCACACACGGCCGGACUUGGCAUUCUCCGUCGGCUAUGUCAGUCGGUUCAUGGAGCGACCAACGUCGGAACACCAACAGGCAGUGAAGAGGAUCGUCCGCUACAUAGCAGGGACCCUCGACCACGGCCUCCAUUACCCUAGGUGCCUUGGGGCGGCACACUUCGUCGGGUACAGCGACAGCGACCACGCCGGCGACAUCGACACCAGCAAGAGCACGAGCGGGAUCCUCCUCUUCCUCGGCAAGUGUCUCGUGAGCUGGCAAUCAGUCAAGCAGCAGGUGGUGGCCCUGUCCAGCUGUGAGGCUGAAGACACCAGAACGGUGCAGCUCCUGGUGGACAACAAGUCCGCCCUGGCCCUGGCAAAGAACCUCGUGUUCCACGAACGGAGCAAGCACAUCCGACUGAGGUAUCACUUCAUCCGCAGCUGUGUGGAAGAAGGGAGCAUCGAGGCGAGCUACAUCAACACCAAGGAUCAGCUCGCAGACCUGCUCACCAAGCCCCUUGGGAGGGUCAAGUUCCUCGAACUUUGCUCCAGGAUUGGGAUGAUUCAACUCUCCCACAAGACGACGUACAAGACUUAG
Molecule: ribosomal RNA, 2625 nt
Filed under: Triticum aestivum (bread wheat)
Lineage: Eukaryota; Viridiplantae; Streptophyta; Magnoliopsida; Poales; Poaceae
Description: partial small subunit ribosomal RNA
Source: RNAcentral